GACGAACGCUGGCGGCGUGCCUAAUACAUGCCAGUAGAACGCACAGUUUAUACCGUAGCUUGCUACACCAUAGACUGUGGGUUGCGAACGGGUGAGUAACGCGUAGGUAACCUGCCUGGUAGCGGGGGAUAACUAUUGGAAACGAUAGCUAAUACCGCAUAAUAUUAAUUAUUGCAUGAUAAUUAAUUGAAAGGUGCAAUUGCACCACUACCAGAUGGACCUGCGUUGUAUUAGCUAGUAGGUGAGGUAACGGCUCACCUAGGCGACGAUACAUAGCCGAACGGAGAGGGUGAUCGGCCACACUGGGACGGAGACACGGCCCAGACUCCUACGGGAGGCAGCAGGAGGGAAUCUUCGGCAAUGGACGAAAGUCUGACCGAGCAACGCCGCGUGAGUGAAGAAGGUUUUCGGAUCGUAAAGCUCUGUUGUAAGAGAAGAACGGGUGUGAGAGUGGAAAGUUCACACUGUGACGGUAUCUUACCAGAAAGGGACGGCUAACUACGUG
Molecule: ribosomal RNA, 505 nt
Filed under: uncultured bacterium
Lineage: Bacteria
Description: partial 16S ribosomal RNA
Rfam family: Bacterial small subunit ribosomal RNA
Source: RNAcentral